GAUGAACGCUGGCGGCGUGCCUAAUACAUGCAAGUCGAGCGAACGGACGAGGAGCUUGCUCCUCUGACGUUAGCGGCGGACGGGUGAGUAACACGUGGAUAACCUACCUAUAAGACUGGGAUAACUUCGGGAAACCGGAGCUAAUACCGGAUAAUAUAUUGAACCGCAUGGUUCAAUAGUGAAAGACGGUUUUGCUGUCACUUAUAGAUGGAUCCGCGCCGCAUUAGCUAGUUGGUAAGGUAACGGCUUACCAAGGCAACGAUGCGUAGCCGACCUGAGAGGGUGAUCGGCCACACUGGAACUGAGACACGGUCCAGACUCCUACGGGAGGCAGCAGUAGGGAAUCUUCCGCAAAGGGCGAAAGCUUGACGGAGCAACGCCGCGUGAGUGGUGAAGGUCUUCGGAUCGUAAAACUCUGUUAUUAGGGAAGAACAAAUGUGUAAGUAACUAUGCACGUCUUGACGGUACCUAAUCAGAAAGCCACGGCUAACUACGUG
RNAcentral lists this ribosomal RNA (497 nucleotides) under uncultured bacterium. RNAcentral describes it as "partial 16S ribosomal RNA". It matches the Rfam family "Bacterial small subunit ribosomal RNA", at positions 28 to 507 of the family's 1533-position model. The record is from RNAcentral.